RNAcentral lists this ribosomal RNA (398 nucleotides) under uncultured bacterium. Its description in RNAcentral is "bacterial SSU rRNA". It matches the Rfam family "Bacterial small subunit ribosomal RNA", at positions 358 to 773 of the family's 1533-position model. The record is from RNAcentral.
GGAAUAUUGGACAAUGGGCGCAAGCCUGAUCCAGCCAUGCCGCGUGAGUGAAGAAGGCCUUCGGGUUGUAAAGCUCUUUUGGCGGGGACGAUGAUGACGGUACCCGCAGAAUAAGCCCCGGCUAACUUCGUGCCCGCACCCGCGGUAAGACGAAGGGGGCUAGCGUUGUUCGGAAUUCCUGGGCGUAACGGGCGCGUAGGCGGUUUGUUAAGUCAGGCGUGAAAGCCCUGGGCUCAACCUGGGAUGUGCGCUUGAUACUGGCAAGCUUGAGUGCAGGAGAGGAUGGUGGAAUUCCCAGUGUAGAGGUGAAAUUCGUAGAUAUUGGGAAGAACACCGGUGGCGAAGGCGGCCAUCUGGACUGCCACUGACGCUGAGGCGCGAAAGCGUGGGGAGCAAAC